GGAGAGGUGGCAGAGCCUGGCUGAAUGCGCGCGAUUCGAAAUCGUGUUUACCGCAAGGUAACGGGGGUUCGAAUCCCUCCCUCUCCGCAA
Molecule: transfer RNA, 90 nt
Filed under: Fidelibacterota bacterium MT.SAG.4
Lineage: Bacteria; Pseudomonadati; Fidelibacterota
Also listed under: 1 other name
Description: Candidatus Marinimicrobia bacterium MT.SAG.4 tRNA-Ser
Rfam family: tRNA
About the family: Transfer RNA (tRNA) molecules are approximately 80 nucleotides in length. Their secondary structure includes four short double-helical elements and three loops (D, anti-codon, and T loops). Further hydrogen bonds mediate the characteristic L-shaped molecular structure. tRNAs have two regions of fundamental functional importance: the anti-codon, which is responsible for specific mRNA codon recognition, and the 3' end, to which the tRNAs corresponding amino acid is attached (by aminoacyl-tRNA synthetases). tRNAs cope with the degeneracy of the genetic code in two manners: having more than one tRNA (with a specific anti-codon) for a particular amino acid; and 'wobble' base-pairing, i.e. permitting non-standard base-pairing at the 3rd anti-codon position.
Source: RNAcentral